ACGAGUAUAUAUAUAUAUAUAGACAUGAUAUAGAGACACACAUGUAGGACAUGUCUAGGCUUUAUCAUUUGUCUACGUGAUCAAAUAGAUAACAGCUUGUGUGCAAAUUUCACACUACACACACACCCACACACACGAGGCGUUAACGCCCACUUCUUCCUGCUAUUUAUAAAUAAGCCUCACUAGUAGGGAUUAUCACAUUUUUGCCCGUUCUUUCAACUGAACUCACAGACAGAAAGACUUCAGGCUGAAAUUCAAACGCAAUUGUUGACUCAAAUUCACUAUGGAAGACCAGACUGAAAAUACUUUAAGGAAACUUAUCCCUCAGAAAAGGGCUUUGAGUUACUCAACACCAAAAUGGGAUGAAGAAGGAGUUGACCAUCAAAGGUGUAAAUAUGUGAGAGAUGACGGUUCAGGGAGAGAAAUGUCCGAGAAACGAGCUUCAUCUCAGCCAACAACAAAACAAAAAAGACAUAAAGGAGACCCUAAAAACUGGGAAAUAAUGGGAAGACGAAAUAUUUU
Octopus sinensis (East Asian common octopus) is the source of this 522-nucleotide long non-coding RNA. RefSeq lists it as uncharacterized. The transcript is spliced from 2 exons. Lineage: Eukaryota; Metazoa; Mollusca; Cephalopoda; Octopoda; Octopodidae. The record is from RefSeq and is a predicted model, not a curated record.